RNAcentral lists this long non-coding RNA (256 nucleotides) under Capsicum annuum. Its description in RNAcentral is "long non-coding RNA (CANN_LNC011105)". The record is from RNAcentral. Lineage: Eukaryota; Viridiplantae; Streptophyta; Magnoliopsida; Solanales; Solanaceae.
GGGCCUGUUCGGGUCGCUAAUGUAGGGAGGUAAUUGGUGGGGGUGUAUUCCUGGUAUGAUUCCGUAUUCAAUGUUCUGUUCCGUGUUCCGUGUUCUAUGUUUGUUACGAAUCUGUGUGCUUUCCUCUGCUUUAUAUUCCUGCAUCCCUGCUUUACUCUGUUUUAUAUUCCUUAUGGCGGCAGUAUCUAUGUUAUGUCAUCUGCUUCUGUGCUGUACUAUGUGUUUGUUUGAUAUCUCGUAACUUGAGCCGGGGGUC